Molecule: long non-coding RNA, 1091 nt
Filed under: Homo sapiens (human)
Lineage: Eukaryota; Metazoa; Chordata; Mammalia; Primates; Hominidae
Description: HSALNT0394425
Source: RNAcentral
ACAGAGUUUUAAUUAUUUGUAAAGACUUCAAUUGUUCACUAAUGUCAUGGAUUGGUCCUCACAGUGUGAAGUGCAACUGCCCAGAUCCCCCACAGUAUUAUAAAUAGUCUUCUAAAGCCGGGUUGAUUGAUGUUUGGCAUAAAACUCUAUUCCUCUGAGCACAUAUAUUCCUUCUGUUCACUAUUUUCAUAGAAAAAUACCAGGGCUGAUUUUUUAUUCAAAUCUCCAAUUUAUGCAGGGUUUAAACUACUAAAUACUUAAAGCCGUUUUCAGAUCUUUCCCCCCUUUUCUGUUAGGUAGGUAACUAAAUCUUUGGCUUCAAUGCAAAUAAGAAUUGGAGAUUUAGCAGAUUCCUGUGGGGGAGAGGAAGAGUUUAUUAAUUAUAUUGAGAAUCAAAUAAUAUGCUUCUUUGACACUAAUGUUCCAUCUUUCUCCACCCCAAGUAUCCUAUGGGACAACUUUAAAGCCUUUAUCAGGGUCUAAAUUACUGCAUUUAUGGUUCCUUAGAAGUAGGAAUUUAAUGAAUGGCAUUCUGAGUUGAAGAGAGAAUUUGAAGGUUUAAGCUGCAACGGUGAAGCAAUUUUUUUCAAAGUAUGUGGCAGGGAUUGUAAUAUAAAACAUCAAAAAAAGCACAAUAAAAUACAUUUUCAUGAGUGUUAAUAAAUUUUUAAUACUGAUGAAAUGUAAAUUUUUCCUUCAUGACCCUUAUCUGCAUUUGACAGAGUCCAACAGAAAAUUUUAAGUACCUGUUUAAAGCAAUUUACAAGAUACUGUGGAGAUUCCCAGCAAUAAAGAAUGUACUAUAGUUAAGCUGGAAUCCAACUCCUGAAUUUCUGGAGCCCUGAAGACCACUUAGUCUUACUCACAAGAAUUGAAUGGAAUGUGAAUCUACACUCAGGUGAAGCCAGGGUAUUUUGAACGUCCCUACAAGACUGAAGCACCACUGGGAAAUAAGUAAUAGAGAUGCCAUCAUUGUGGAGGUCAUAAUGCUUGUCCUGAACACGAGGGGUCUCUAGUGUGGGGGAAACAAGCUUAACAGAGGAUUGAAAGCUGAUGCCUCCAAACUGUAAGGAGAAGUUUGUGAAGCCUAG